This is a long non-coding RNA of Papaver somniferum (opium poppy), 815 nucleotides long. RefSeq lists it as uncharacterized. The transcript has 4 exons. The record is from RefSeq and is a predicted model, not a curated record. NCBI's taxonomy places the organism in Eukaryota, Viridiplantae, Streptophyta, Magnoliopsida, Ranunculales, Papaveraceae.
UUUUCCUCAUUUGGUUCUUCUUUCUUCGGGGCUUAAAAAAAUCGUAGUGCUUGUAUUUUCGCGGUUUACCAUAGUCCAAGACAUAUAAACCCUAUUAUCAUAGUUUUCAUACUGUUCGGUAAGAUUCUUAUCUACUUUUAGUGAAAUUGAAUAUAUCACCAUUAAUAUGUUUUUCUUCAUUUGGUUCUUCUUUCUUCAAGCUAAAAAUAAUCAGAGCUCUUGUAUUUUCACGGUUUACCAUAAUGCAAAACAUAGAAACCCUAUUAUCACAGUUUUCAUAUUGUUCGCGAAAGGGAUAAGUAAGACAUGUCAAAACUUGGUGGUAGAGGUUGAUGCUAAAAAUCCAGUUCAUGCUUUCCAGAAAUUAAAGAAGAGAAAGUAAACCGGAAAUCCAACAACAACUAAAGAUGACCCUAAACACCAACACAAGCAAGGGUAAUAAGAAAAGUUUAAAAGACGGGACGAGCAUUUGUUCUGACACUUUUUAAGUGUAUUCCCUCUGAUCACAUAGGCCUCCGCGUUUAGGGAUUCUUAGGAGAAGUUCAAGAAAAAUUAGUGACUCGGAAUUAGUGGUGACGGUCUGGACUCACAUAAGGCAUUUGGGAAGAAAUUCAGGCUUCCAUACACAUUACUAACUGACGAGGGUAACAAGGUUAGAAAAGAAUGGGGAGUACCAUCUCAUCUAUUCGGAACAUUGUUAGAGCACUGCUCGGUUGAACCCACUAGCGUUGGUAUGUCAAGUUAGUUGUCAAUUUUAGUUGCCAAAAUGCAUUCUUGAUUUAGUAUACUAUACAUGGUUUCGGAUUAGAUUAGGU